AUCUAAACGCUUUCAUCAACUGUCUUCUGACAGCAAUGAAUGCAUCAAUUCAAAACAAUAUGAAGAGUGCAGCCAAAUGCAGUAAUCAUUGCAAAUUGCAGAAUUCCGUGAGUGAUUUUUCUUGAAUGUAGGCAUGUUCUUGGGCCACCCCUAASGACA
RNAcentral lists this ribosomal RNA (159 nucleotides) under Ostreopsis cf. ovata. RNAcentral describes it as "5.8S ribosomal RNA". The record is from RNAcentral. Lineage: Eukaryota; Dinophyceae; Peridiniales; Ostreopsidaceae.